GCCAGCAAUUGUAUCACUCUGCCACUCACCACUGGCAACCCCACUGAAGCUAAGCAGGUGUGAGUCUGGUAAGUACCUGGAUGGGACACCUCCUGGGAAAGCUAAGAUUGCUGCUGGAA
This 119-nucleotide ribosomal RNA is filed under the name Lepisosteus oculatus (spotted gar). Lineage: Eukaryota; Metazoa; Chordata; Actinopteri; Semionotiformes; Lepisosteidae. The record is from RNAcentral.